Molecule: ribosomal RNA, 468 nt
Filed under: uncultured bacterium
Lineage: Bacteria
Description: partial 16S ribosomal RNA
Rfam family: Bacterial small subunit ribosomal RNA
Source: RNAcentral
GACGAACGCUGGCGGCGCGCCUAACACAUGCAAGUCGAACGGAGCUGAGAGAAGCUUGCUUUUCUUAGCUUAGUGGCGAACGGGUGAGUAACGCGUGAGUAACCUGCCCUGGAGUGGGGGACAACAGUUGGAAACGACUGCUAAUACCGCAUAAGCCCACGAUCCGGCAUCGGAUUGAGGGAAAAGGAUUUAUUCGCUUCAGGAUGGACUCGCGUCCAAUUAGCUAGUUGGUGAGGUAACGGCCCACCAAGGCGACGAUUGGUAGCCGGACUGAGAGGUUGAACGGCCACAUUGGGACUGAGACACGGCCCAGACUCCUACGGGAGGCAGCAGUGGGGGAUAUUGCACAAUGGGGGAAACCCUGAUGCAGCGACGCCGCGUGGAGGAAGAAGGUUUUCGGAUUGUAAACUCCUGUCGUUAGGGACGAUAAUGGCGGUACCUAACAAGAAAGCACCGGCUAACUACGUG